Long non-coding RNA from Triticum dicoccoides, 1381 nucleotides. RefSeq lists it as uncharacterized. The transcript has 3 exons. The record is from RefSeq and is a predicted model, not a curated record. NCBI's taxonomy places the organism in Eukaryota, Viridiplantae, Streptophyta, Magnoliopsida, Poales, Poaceae.
UUUUGUGACAUCAACUUGCCGGUAGCUACACCAUGUUCUUGAAAUUCCACACCAACCACUCCUGAUUUUUAAAAAGAACAAUCAUUGGGCUCAUAAGAGAUGGAUGAGCAAUGUGAAGUUGAAGAAAACAACAGAGCCAUAUGGCUAGACUACCAUCUGUGCAAGUCCAAAGGUUAUGGGGACUGCAAGAACUUCAGGAUCUGAUUGCCGCGUCAAUAACAGGAAAAAGUGUAUGCUGUGUACUAAGAAGAGAUGGAGCGUAGCCAAGUGGAACUCUGAGUUCAUGCUUUUGAAGAUCUUGAGAGAGAUAUCAAGGGUGCCCUGAUGUUCAACCUAGCUGUCUCAAACUUGUAGCAAAUGGCUGAAUCAGUGAUUCUUUUAGCUGUGGCAAAGAUUGGUGCUGCUCUGGGGAAUGAAGCAAUCAACCAGGCUAGUUCACAAUUCAAAAAGUUCAUUACGCAGCUAACAGAGCUUCAAGGCAGCAUGGGUCGCAUAAGAAGAGAACUGAGGCUAAUACAUGAAUUUCUUUGCUGAAUGGAUGUAAGGAAUCGCAAGAAUCCAACAUAUGAAAUCUGGGUGGAGGAGGUGAGAAUGCUUGCAUAUGGGAUUGAGGAUAUUGCGGAUGAGUAUUUGCAUAUUGUCGGUCAGAAACAUCAUGGUGGAUGGAGAAUCUUUCUUAAAAAGGAUUCAAGCAUCCAAAUGUCUUGCUUUCUUUAAAUAGGAUAGCUUCAUUGGUUAAGGAAGCAGAGAUCAAUCUUGUGCAUCUGUUCCAAGCCAAGGAUCGGUGGGUUCCGAUAGUAGGUGGUGAGAAUACCAAUGACUCAAGUUACAUUGUUGAGAGGUCUCAACAUCUGGCAAGAAUUUCACGUUCCCUUGGUGAAGAAGAUCUUGUGGGGGUUGAUGAAAAUAAAAAAACACUUCUGAACUUGUUGCAAAGUGAUGAUUUGGAAAGCUCUGUGAUAGUACUGCACGGGAUGGGAGGGCUUGGUAAGACAGCUUUGGCUGCAAAUGUGUACCGGAAGGACAGAGAAAAGUUUGACUGCCAUGCUUGGAUCUCCAUCUCUCAAACUUAUUCUAGAGAAGAUAUUUUGAGGAAUUUAAUCAAGCAACUAUUCGAAGAUAAAACCAGUGUUCUAUCCAACAUAGCCAACAUGGACAUAACAGAGCUCGAAGAGACACUGAGGAAUUUUCUGGAACAAAAGAAGUAUUUUAUCAUAUUGGAUAAUAUCUGGACUCUCGAAUCAUUCAAUGAUUUUUCUGGGGCACUUAUCUGUCGGGGAAACUGACCCACGGACACCUAUGGGGACCGAGCCCCUUUCGGUUCGGCGGGGGGGCGGAGGUCGCACGAAGAGCAGAUCGAGGCGAAGCACACGAGCAGUUU